CCCUGGGCCCACCAGCCAGUGGGGGCCGCACCCUUCCCACCCCUUCUGUUUCGCGGGGAGACCUCAGUUCGGUCGAUGCCAGGAAAUUUUUGGGAUUAAACAUGGCAUUAGAAAAGGAAGGUAUGAUCUAUCUCUUUAUUAUAUUAGUUGCACGUACGGUAGCGGUAGGGAUACCGUGGAAUGAUCGAGAGAUAAAACACACACGCAUGAUGACUUGUAUAAUAACAAGAUAGUACAAAAUAUAAAGCGUCUCUCGUCGCACACCACCCGCGAAAUGGUGUGCGGUCAUCAAGUUCGAGGUUAGUGUCGUCCAAACAAAUAAUGGUGAUUAUUCCCGAGAGCAUAUUAUUCUAGACCAUCCGAUAUGAUCCAACACACGAGGUUCAUUCCCAAAAGCAACGUGUAUAUAUUGUUUCAAAAAAAAGCAACGUGUAUAUAGAGGGUGCUCUCGUAUGGCGGUUGUUAUGAAGAAAUUAGAAUUAAUGAUCAAUUUCUGUAAUAAUUAAUUAGAUUAGUGAUUAGGUGGUUACCUUUCAUGAAAAGACUAAUUCACGGAAAAGCCAACUCCCGCCAUGCCGAAAGGGUCUCUUUUGGUCUUGUAUAUAAACAGUGAUCUUCAUUAAUCAAGAGAAUCAAUCAUUCCAUUCACUUUCACUUCUAACACGUCAUCAGUAACACGUUAUCAGCAAGCUCUUCCUUUGAGCGAUAGAAGAGUUCCUCGGCAAGCUUCUGAACACGAGGAAAGAACAGAUGGGAGAAGAAGCGAAAGCGCUUGCAGGCCAAUUCGCAUGCAGCACACUCGGCUAAGAAGAUGAUCGGAAGAACGGACGGCCUCUUGCCGGCGACAACGGUGGCACGUGCAUCCACCAACGACGGCGCAAUCCCCUUCACGGCACCGCAGCCAAUACAAUAGAGGCAUGGGCUUAAUUCCAGGCUCAAUGGCAUGAAGACACGAAGAAAUAGAGGCCAAAAGCCUAGGCCAAAACAGAAAAAAAAAAAA
Molecule: long non-coding RNA, 1000 nt
Organism: Panicum virgatum (switchgrass)
Lineage: Eukaryota; Viridiplantae; Streptophyta; Magnoliopsida; Poales; Poaceae
Exons: 2
Source: RefSeq, a predicted model, not a curated record